This 69-nucleotide transfer RNA is filed under the name Ictidomys tridecemlineatus (thirteen-lined ground squirrel). RNAcentral's name for it is "Spermophilus tridecemlineatus (thirteen-lined ground squirrel) tRNA". It matches the Rfam family "tRNA". From Rfam's summary of the family: Transfer RNA (tRNA) molecules are approximately 80 nucleotides in length. Their secondary structure includes four short double-helical elements and three loops (D, anti-codon, and T loops). Further hydrogen bonds mediate the characteristic L-shaped molecular structure. tRNAs have two regions of fundamental functional importance: the anti-codon, which is responsible for specific mRNA codon recognition, and the 3' end, to which the tRNAs corresponding amino acid is attached (by aminoacyl-tRNA synthetases). tRNAs cope with the degeneracy of the genetic code in two manners: having more than one tRNA (with a specific anti-codon) for a particular amino acid; and 'wobble' base-pairing, i.e. permitting non-standard base-pairing at the 3rd anti-codon position. The record is from Rfam by way of RNAcentral. Lineage: Eukaryota; Metazoa; Chordata; Mammalia; Rodentia; Sciuridae.
GGGGUUGUGGCUCAGUAGUAUAGCACUUGCCUAGCAUGCAUGAGACAUUGGGUUCGAUCCUCAGCACCA